CCUACGGGAGGCAGCAGUGGGGAAUUUUCCGCAAUGGGCGAAAGCCUGACGGAGCAACGCCGCGUGAGGGAUGAAGGCCUCUGGGCUGUAAACCUCUUUUAUCAAGGAAGAAGAUCUGACGGUACUUGAUGAAUAAGCCACGGCUAAUUCCGUGCCAGCAGCCGCGGUAAUACGGGAGUGGCAAGCGUUAUCCGGAAUUAUUGGGCGUAAAGCGUCCGCAGGCGGUCUUGUAAGUCUGUCGUUAAAGCGUGGAGCUCAACUCCAUUUCGGCGGUGGAAACUACAAGACUAGAGUGUGGUAGGGGCAGAGGGAAUUCCCGGUGUAGCGGUGAAAUGCGUAGAUAUCGGGAAGAACACCAGUGGCGAAGGCGCUCUGCUGGGCCAUAACUGACGCUCAUGGACGAAAGCUAGGGGAGCGAAAGGGAUUAGAUACCCUGUAGUCCUAGCCGUAAACGAUGAACACUAGGUGUCGGGGAAUCGACCCCUCGGUGUCGUAGCUAACGCGUUAAGUGUUCCGCCUGGGGAGUACGCACGCAAGUGUGAAACUCAAAUGAAUUGACGG
RNAcentral lists this ribosomal RNA (561 nucleotides) under uncultured bacterium. RNAcentral describes it as "bacterial SSU rRNA". It matches the Rfam family "Bacterial small subunit ribosomal RNA", at positions 338 to 916 of the family's 1533-position model. The record is from RNAcentral.